Molecule: ribosomal RNA, 1901 nt
Filed under: human gut metagenome
Description: bacterial LSU rRNA
Rfam family: Bacterial large subunit ribosomal RNA (bases 261-1900)
Source: RNAcentral
GGACGUUUGUAUGCGGUUCUUAUGGUUCUGGCUCUAUAACUGAGGAAAGACUUAGUAACAGAUAAUUAUUGGGAACAGAUUGAUUUGUUCUCAAGUGUGGAGAAGCGUGAAAAGCAGAUGAAGAUGGAUUCAGCGGUGGAUGAGAUACGCAGAAGAUUUGGAUUUUACAGUAUCCAGAGAGGACUUAUGUACCGGGACAGGAUUCUGUCGGCAGUCAAUGCAAAAGAAGAACACACAGUACAUCCACAUGGAUACUUUUCAGGUUAGCAACGAGAAGUGCUAGAUAAUCAAGGCGCAGAUGUGUUGUGCUUGCACAUAAACAUAUGGGACUUGGUUAUCUGAUACGGCGACUGCCGUGAGCGAAAUGAAGCGAAGCGGAAUUGAGCUGCACUACGAGUAGCGAUAGAGUAAAAAAGAGGGAGGCGGAACAUGAGCGAAGCAGCGAGAAUUGAUCUGGUAGACAGAGCACCAUUGACGGAGAAGCAACAGAAUGUGUAUGAAAGCAUUAUGCAAUAUCAGUGUGUGAAUGGUUAUGCUCCUACUAUUAGGGAGAUAUGCAAGAUGGUAGGGGUGGCAUCGACUUCAAGUGUUGAAUUCACACUGGCGAGAAAAGCUGCUAAGGAGCGAGAGUAUGCCCGUACCGCAAACCGACACAGGUAGGCGAGGAGAGAAUCCUAAGACGAGCGGGAGAACCCAUGUUAAGGAACUCGGCAAAAUGACCCUGUAACUUCGGGAUAAAGGGAGCCACGAGAGUGGCCGCAGAGAAUAGGCCCAAGCGACUGUUUACCAAAAACACAGGUCUGUGCGAAGUAGAGAUACGACGUAUACGGGCUGACGCCUGCCCAGUGCCGGAAGGUUAAGGGGAAGUGUUAGGGCAACCGAAGCACGGAACUUAAGCCCCGGUGAACGGCGGCCGUAACUAUAACGGUCCUAAGGUAGCGAAAUUCCUUGUCGGGUAAGUUCCGACCCGCAUGAAAGGCGUAAUGAUUUGGGCACUGUCUCAACGAGGGGCCCGGUGAAAUUGAAAUACCUGUGAAGAUGCAGGUUACCCGCGACUGGACAGAAAGACCCCAUGGAGCUUCACUGCAGCUUGAGAUUGAAUCUCGGUGAUGCAUGCACAGGAUAGGUGGGAGACUUUGAAGUAUGGGCUUUGGCUUAUACCGAGUCGAUGUUGGGAUACCACCCUUGUAUUGCUGAGAUUCUAACACGGAGGCUAACAACCUCGUGGACCAUCUCAGGUAGGCGGUUUGACUGGGGCGGUCGCCUCCGAAAGAGUAACGGAGGCGCCCAAAGGUUCCCUCAGGUCGGACAGAAACCGACCGAAGAGUGCAAAGGCAGAAGGGAGCUUGACUGCGAGACAGACAAGUCGAGCAGAGACGAAAGUCGGGCUUAGUGAUCCGGUGGUACUGAGUGGAAAGGCCAUCGCUCAACGGAUAAAAGCUACCCUGGGGAUAACAGGCUAAUCUCUCCCAAGAGUUCAUAUCGACGGGGAGGUUUGGCACCUCGAUGUCGGCUCAUCACAUCCUGGAGCUGGAGUAGGUUCCAAGGGUUGGGCUGUUCGCCCAUUAAAGUGGUACGCGAGCUGGGUUCAAAACGUCGUGAGACAGUUUGGUUCAUAUCCAUCGCGGGCGCAAGAAGUUUGAGGGAGGCUGCUCCUAGUACGAGAGGACCGGAGUGGACGGAUCAACGGUGUACCAGUUGUCACGCCAGUGGCACGGCUGGAAAGCCGCAUCCGGAAAGGAUAAACGCUGAAAGCAUCUAAGCGUGAAGCCCGUCCCGAGAUGAGACUUCUCAUCAGCAAUGAGUAAGACCCCUUAAAGACGAUGAGGUUGAUAGGCUGUGAGUGGAAGGCCCGUAAGGGUUGGAGCGACGCAGUACUAAUAGGUCGAGGUCUUAACUUG